RNAcentral lists this ribosomal RNA (492 nucleotides) under uncultured bacterium. RNAcentral describes it as "partial 16S ribosomal RNA". It matches the Rfam family "Bacterial small subunit ribosomal RNA", at positions 29 to 507 of the family's 1533-position model. The record is from RNAcentral.
AGUGAACGCUGGCGGUAGGCCUAACACAUGCCAGUCGAACGGCAGCACAGUAAGAGCUUGCUCUUACGGGUGGCGAGUGGCGGGUGGGUGAGGAAUACAUCGGAAUCUACUUUUUCGUGGGGGAUAACGUAGGGAAACUUACGCUAAUACCGCAUACGACCUACGGGUGAAAGCAGGGGAUCUUCGGACCUUUCGCGAUUGAAUGAGCCGAUGUCGGAUUAGCUAGUUGGCUGGGUAACGGCCCACCAAGGCGACGAUCCGUAGCUGGUCUGAGAGGAUGAUCAGCCACACUGGAACUGAGACACGGUCCAGACUCCUACGGGAGGCAGCAGUGGGGAAUCUUGGGCAAUGGGCGCAAGCUUGAUGGAGCCACACCGCGUGAGUGAAGAAGGCCUUCGGGUCGUAAAGCCCUGUUGUUGGGAAAGAACAAAUGUAUAUGUAACUAUACCUGUCUUGACGGUACCUAAUGAAUAAGCACCGGCUAACUACGUG